UCCGGUGAGGGGGGAGCGGGUGCCUGUGCUGUGCCUGUACAGGAGAGGGGACACAGCGGGCACCAGAUAUGGGGGCCGGUGCUGAGAGGAGCUGAGCGAAGCGUGCAGCAAGAGUAGGAGCUGCCACUCUUUGUUAAAGCAUCUUACACACAGUGUGCUACUGUAUGGCUCAAGUGGACAUAUAUAUCUUUACUGGAUGUGGACAAGGCCAUUUUGCUUGGAUUCCAUUUCGUGUUUUACUUACUUCGUUUGAUACUCACAAUCAAGAUGAGUGGAGUGCGGAUGAUGUCUUGGAGGUGUGUCCAAAAUUUGGAGUGGGGGGACCGAACAUACUGUCGAUAAUCUUUGUGGCGGGGUAGCCUGCUGUGGUUGGCCCUGGACAUCAGACCUUGCUUUCUUUGCUGCCACAGGUUUUUUUGUGGUGAUGUCUUACAGAAGUCCCACUUCUGCUGCUCCAGACUUCUUUUGAUGGACCUAUUAAUAAAAGUGAAAUUUUGUUAUGGCCAUUCUUUUAAAAACAUACCCUAUACUACAAUGGACACUUUACCUGCUUCCGCAGCAUCAUCAUCAUCAGAUGUGAUGGGAGUUACUGGAGGACGAGUAGUACUGCUUUUUUCAAACACUGUAAAAAAAAAACCUCAUGUAUACAUGCUAUUGUUGAUACAUCCACCCAUUAUGCUUAUAAACAGUUAUUAUUUAAGAAAUGCUUGCUUUAUUUUUAUGAAAAACAUAAGGACCGGAAACAAA
This is a long non-coding RNA of Pseudophryne corroboree (corroboree frog), 747 nucleotides long. RefSeq lists it as uncharacterized. NCBI's taxonomy places the organism in Eukaryota, Metazoa, Chordata, Amphibia, Anura, Myobatrachidae. The transcript has 3 exons. The record is from RefSeq and is a predicted model, not a curated record.